This 118-nucleotide ribosomal RNA is filed under the name Laccosperma opacum. RNAcentral's name for it is "partial 18S ribosomal RNA". It matches the Rfam family "Eukaryotic small subunit ribosomal RNA", at positions 1718 to 1831 of the family's 1831-position model. Lineage: Eukaryota; Viridiplantae; Streptophyta; Magnoliopsida; Arecales; Arecaceae. The record is from RNAcentral.
CGGCGACGCGAGCGGUCCGCCACCCGCGACGUCGCGAGAAGUCCACUGAACCUUAUCAUUUAGAGGAAGGAGAAGUCGUAACAAGGUUUCCAUAGGUGAACCUACGGAAGAAUCAUUA